RNAcentral lists this ribosomal RNA (386 nucleotides) under uncultured bacterium. RNAcentral's name for it is "bacterial SSU rRNA". It matches the Rfam family "Bacterial small subunit ribosomal RNA", at positions 350 to 751 of the family's 1533-position model. The record is from RNAcentral.
AGCAGUGGGGAAUUUUCCGCAAUGGGCGAAAGCCUGACGGAGCAAUACCGCGUGCGGGACGAAGGCUUUUGGGUCGUAAACCGCUUUUGUUAGGGAAGAAGAACUGACGGUACCUAACGAAUCAGCAUCGGCUAACUCCGUGCCAGCAGCCGCGGUAAUACGGAGGAUGCAAGCGUUAUCCGGAUUUAUUGGGCGUAAAGCGUCCGCAGGUGGUUUAUUAAGUCUGCUGUUAAAGCGUGGGGCUUAACCCCAUAUAGGCAGUGGAAACUGAGAGACUAGAGUACGGUAGGGGUAGCGGGAAUUCCCAGUGUAGCGGUGAAAUGCGUAGAUAUUGGGAAGAACACCAGCGGCGAAGGCGCGCUACUGGGCCGAAACUGACACUCAUG